GGGGCGGGAGCGGAGAACUUUCUAGAGAAGCGGUUAAACGGGUUGGGGCUCUUGGGCCGAGGGCACCCGAGGGUGGUGGUGGUUGUUUUUUUUUUUUUUGGUGGUAAGAUUUGUUUUUCUGGUGGAUGUUUCCUGGGGGCGGCCUCCUCUCCCGCUCCGGGACCUCUCGGAUUUCAGUGAUCAAACCCUUCCCCACGUCCUCCUCCCCACCCCCACCCCCCGGAGUCGAGCCGAUUUUUCCAGAUCCUUCUCCAUCCUCAGGACUCCCAAGUCUGGGCCUGCCUGCCGGCCUGCCGGCCCGCCCCGUUCACCCAGCCCCGCAGCGUCGUAUCUGGAGCCGGAGCCAGGCAGCCAGAUGUGAAGAGGCAAGGGCCGUCCCCCUGCGAUGGGACCCCAGGCACCCGUGGCGUGGGCACCUAAGCGAUGUGGGGACUAGAGGCCGAGGGAGCGAAGGCCCGGGGGCACAAAUUGCGGGACACAGCUUUGUCCGCCCCGCAGCCCGGCAGGCCCGCCGGAUGAGUUGCUUUCCAAAAUUCCGUGAGCAGGAGACCUUGUAAGUGGGGGUGGACAGGAAGGAAUUUUUUCAUCGCAACCGCCGCUCCUUAGUGAUACCUGGUGGAGUUGUCGUUCCUGAAACAGCGCUGGCUUGAUCGGAAGGUCUGCCUGGCGAGGUCCUGACUCUGCCCAGCACUGUAGUACCACAGUUACACAUAGCGCCUGAAUGACAGCACAGACGAGAGAGAGACCAUUAAAAACGAAGGAAAAGGAUUCGUCAAUGAAACAGAGAUGGAGGCUAGAAAAGGUGGAACGAAUUUCCCCAGAAUGAAAACAAAAAAUGCAAGGUGCUGAAGAUGAUGAAGAAAGCCUUGAAAGAAGAAGAAUGAUGGGAAAGGCAAAGAGACAGUUGUCAGGUGGGAGAGCCGGCCUGUUCCGCCUCCUGGUGAUGUGACACCGAGUGCUUGUGUUCUCCAGGUGGAAGUCUUUCUUCAGUCAGCAUACAGAGUAAUGGGUUUCAGUAUGGCCUUUCAUAUGUAGAUGUCACUGUCCUUUGUUCUUAUGCGUACUGCUCUCUCCCACCUCUCUCCCUGUUCUCUUUGCCCUCUUCCUUUUCCCAAAUGGUUUCCCUUUCUGCUCUCAUCUUCUAUAUACACACAUGUAUACAUUUAGAUUCCACACACGAGAGAAAAUGUAGUAUUUGUUCAAGUCUGGCUUAUUUUGCUUAGCAUAAUCUUCAGCUCUAGCCAUCUUCCUGUAUAGCUGAAUACCAUUUCACUGUGCUUACGUAUCACAUUUUUAAGUGCUCCUGUUGCUGGACCCCUUGGCUACUCUACCGUUUAGGGGUUCUGAAGAGUGCAGCAGUGAGCUCGCACUCCUUCGUUAGAUUUAGCAUUCCCUUCGUAAGGUUUAGCAUCCCCUUUGUUGGAUUUAGCAUCCCCUUUGUUGGAUUUAGCAUCCCCUUCAUUGUUUUGCUGCUACUUUAAAUGUCUUCAAAGAUUUUCUGUUUACUGCUGGUACAGAAAAUGCAUUUUUGUGUUGGAGAGGUGUUUCAGCUGUUAAAGACUAGGCUCAGAACCAAAAUGUCAAAAUGCAUUUUUAUUUUAUGCAAAAUUUUCAUAACAAAACUUGCUGUGUAACCAUUAUUACUAUUUUUAUGUUUUGGAAGUGAGAUCUCACCAUGUAUCCCAGAGUGGCCUCAGACUUAAAAUCCUUAUGUCUCUGCCUUCCAAAUGCUUGGCUUAAGUUCUGUACUACCAUGUCUGGCCAUUUUUUUUUUUUUUUUACCAUUCCCAAGUAGACAGUUCAGUGGCAUUAAAUACAAGGUUUUACAACCGUACUUUUUUUUUUUUUUUUUUUUUUUUGGGUUUUCGAGACAGGGUUUCUCUGUGUAGCUUUGUGCCUCUCCUGGGACUCACUUGGUAGCCCAGGCUGGCCUCAAACUCACGGAGAUCCGCCUGGCUCUGCCUCCCGAGUGCUGGGAUUAAAGGCGUGCGCCACCACCGCCCAGCAGCCGUACUGUUUUUUUAAAACAGAGUCUUGUAUAGCCCAGGCUCGCCUUGAAAUUUUGGUGUGGUCAAGGGUGACCUUGAACUUCUGGUUCCUCUGCUUCUACCUCCCAACUUCUGGGAUUACAGGUGUGCACCACCAUACCUGGCUUCUUAUUGUUUUGCCAUAGGGUCUUGUUGGUCUCAGGCUCAUGGCUCUUUCCCCCUGAAUGAUGGUAUUAUAAGCACCCUUUACCACAAUUCUUGUUUUAAGCAACAUGCUUGUGGUAAUUUGUUGUAUCUGUUGUACGUAUAGCAUUCAGGGUUUAGCAAAGGACAUGGACUGAGUUAUUGAGACUCUCAGUUCGUGUUGUUUUAGUCUACCAUAUUGUUUGCAGUGUCCUGGGGACAACAGGAGAUAGCCACCCUAGGGUGUACCUGAGCAUCUGUGCACAUCAGUGGGUGAGGCUUAGAUGGGUAAACUGCUGUUUAAGAGUUGAAGGUGAGAAUUAUGAGGCGGAGUCUGGUAGAUGCUGGGAGCUGAGAAACUGGCCUCUGAGGCAUGUAAGUUGUAUCACAUGGCUGGAUGGAGAGGAAAGAACACUGAGGAAGACAACUCUCUUCAGCUCCUUCUCCUCAGGCAAACAUGCUGUGUGUGCUAUUUGUUAUGGGAGAAUGGUCCCACCUAGUUCCAUGAGCCAAGCUGAUUCUGUCAAUGAGGAGUGGGAGUCUGGGAAGGCAAGGCCACCUUCUCCUUGGACUCUGUGGCUCAUUUGAUUGCUUAGCAUGUCCCAUCCCUUCGACCACCUGGUGCUGGCUCAUUGAUAUUGUAGGAAGAUGGUGUGAGUAGGCUUGUUCUUAGUCUUAUUAAUAUUCUACCUUGUUAUUCUGUAUCCUAAAAAGGCAGAGACCUAGUUGGAAGUGAGGUUGGGGGCAGGACAGUAGCACAAGGUUCCAGAAUACAUUGUUGUGUGGAACCUGGGACAGUAUAGAGUUGUCCUCUGUACCACUCCUGCCCUGGUAGCACAGUACUCAAUAGCGGGAUUGUGGGCUGGGUGCCUACCCAUGUCCCUUUGCUUCAGGAUCUCUGACUGAGGCUUCAGGUCUGGGACUCCAGGAUGCCUCCAGACCGGUGGGUAGUGAUUUUUCUGUUUUCUUUCCUUCCUCAAAAUCAGUGUCUUCCAGGAAGACCUCCCUGAUUGCUCCACCCCACCAUGAGCUCUUUUCUCUGCUGCAUAUGUCUGGUGUUCUGUGAUGGUCAUUACAGUUCAGUUUAUCAUGGGGCCGGUUCUCACAUGUUCUUCACUUGUCACAGAGUUAUGGGUCGGGUGCAUGUCCUGCUUUCAAAUAAGACUACCAACUUCCUGGGCUCAACCAAGAUGACUGGAGCUUUGGAAGCCCAGAAACAGCUGCUAUCAGGAACAGGUUUUCUGUCUACUAGGGUGGAUUUCUGCUGGUAAGGUGGCCAUACGCAGGCACUUGUCUCUUCAGCAUACUCUCCUUUCAUUCAUUUAUUCUCUAAGCAAACAUCCCCUUUACUGAGUUCCGUGUGUGAGAGGUGAAGCAUUCUAAGAUGGAUGCUUGGCAGUCUCCCUGUAUUUGCCUUGGGCGCCUCAAUUGCACAUAGCUUUCACUUCCUCUGUGCACUUGGUUUCUGUUAGGUCUCCAACCUGGGACAGAGGGCUCACUGAGAUGCCUAUUAACAUAUCAAAGCAGACACUGGCGGCCAAGUUCUCCCAGCAUCCCUCAGUCCCUACCUGUUAGGGAAUUCUCCUGGCUGCCAUACCCUGCUCACUACCCUGAACUCUCCAGCUCAACUAAUUACUGGGCUGGGCUUCUCUCCUGUUAGCUCCUCUGGCCCCUAUAUAACUGGCCAAUUUUAGCAGCAUGUGUCUCUUGGCCAGUUUCUUAACCCAGGCCGCCCUUUUUGGUCAGAGGCUCUUCUUUUUGCUCUCCCUCCUCCUCACAUGGCCCAGCUCAGUCUGGCCACGUUCACUCGGGACUCUUCCAGAUGUCUCCAUCUCUACCUGCUUUCUCCCAUGUAUAUAUAAUACAAACCUCAACCCCUUAGGAGCAGUCAUGUCCUCCUUUUAUUUCUUUUUUUCAUUCAGUUCACAGAUAAUGCAUCCAAUCCCAAGCUGCUUCCUAAUCCAUUGUCUGUGUUAGGUGUUAGGCAAAUUUCCAGACAAUUAGAUCUGCUUCUUCUCAUCAAAAGGAAGCACGUGAAAUCACAUGACUUGUUGAAACUGGGGAGGUCCUAAUUGGUAUUUGGAUUUCCACCAAAAGCUAAAAAACCCAGAACACCAAAGACAGGCUAUCCUACCAGAAGGGGCUGAGUUUAAAUAGAAAGGAGCUAGUGGUUUCAGGGUCUUAACCAUGAGCACAAAUCACAGUGUACAGUGACUCCUUCUUAAAGCAGCAGAGACAUAGUAGUGAUGAUGACAGGGUGUAGGGAGGAACACAGGAUAAUCCACAGUCUGCUGUUUAGUGGGGCAGGGUCUUCUUUCAGUUACAGAGCCAACUUGUGACACCCUAAACACAGAAAUAGUGAGCUGACCAAACUGGGCCGCCAACUGCUCAUCCCAACUUGUCUUCAGCAGUUGCCCCAGUCACUGUGGCACAAGCCAAGGGAGAACCCAGAUAUUCCUAAAUGGCUUUCAGAUUGCUAAACAGAUGCCAGUCUUUAGUCCAAAGGUGGGUAAUGUGCAAGCUGGCGGGUAGAGGAGGAUGGGUAAGGGUUGAAUCUAGAAGGGCAGAGUGAUGUUCUCUAGUCCACCUAAUUUUUGAGUUAGUUGCUUAGUGUGAUAGGUUUCUCCUUUCACAUUUGUCUUAAAAAUAUAUUCAAUGAUUUGUUUCAAACAAAAGGAAAAUCAGUCUUUCUCUCCCAUUGCCCUUUUUCUUCUUUGAAAGAAGUUUCCAAAUCUUUCUGGAAAGCUUAAAUCCUAGCAUUGGAGUAACCAAAUUUGGGUUUGUAGCUCUUAGGAGGUUGACACUAAUCUGUGACAGUCACAACUUAGUUGUUAACAGUCACAUGACAACGGUAUGUUUUUGUUGUAUGAAAGCCUUUAUAAGAACAGAAAGAAGUCUCCUGGAGUCUGUGGUCAGUUAGCUUAGAACCUGCGGGAAGUAUGCAGACAGUAGCUGGUGAUCCUGGCAACGCCAUCUGAUAAGAACAGUGAAUGUGUAGGUCUACCCUGAAAGGAAAGACUGCGAGGGGCAUGUGGCUCCACCCAAGGAGGAGCACACCUAGUUCAUCUUGGAGGAAGAAAAUGUCUUCUUCAUUCUCCGUGUUGCAGUAAUCAGACCCAGCGUCUGUCUGGGAUGAUAACGUGUAUAAUGGUGAACUCAUCCCUCGUCAGUUUCCCACAGAGUGCUCCACAUGUUUCUAUGUCACGGGCAGGGUUAGCAUUGGUGAACUGGGGAAACUUGGCAGAGCUUCAAGGUACGGUACAUGCAGUGUGGUCCACUGAUGAUGGGAACAUUUCUGUGUCGCUCAGCACUCCAGGUCUUAAACACUUGUCUACCACUGGUAACCUAGCUCGCCUUAUGGCUGUGUUACAGUCUGAAGCCUGUGGAUAACACCCAGGUUGUGAAGGCUUAUCCAGGGCUUUUCUAAGUCAGGCCCCAGCAGCCCUCUGGGUCUAGAUCUAUCUUGCUAAGCUCUUGCACAAUUUUUAGUCCCUCUUUUUCCAGCUCCUGCUUCUGGGUCAUCUCCUCAAAGGCAUGGAACUGUUUCUGUUCUAACUGAUGCAGCUUUUGCUCUUUGCCCAGCUCUUGCUGGGUGGCCGUGUUCUGGGAAAAUUCUAACUCUUCCUUCUUCUCUUUAUAUUUUUCACAUUCUUUGGUGUGUGUAUCCAAACUGUUUCUGGUUCUUCUGCCUGGAGAAAAGCAAGUUCUUUAAUUUCUUUACUGUGUCUUCUCAGGAAUGACAACUGCUUUGUCAUCCCACUACCUGGGGACUUGUCUAUGAAGGACUUGAUGUACUUACUAUAGAGGAUAAAGGCAUGUUCAAUGUUGCUUUCUUCAGAGUAAACGGAUGCCAUGUAGAUGACUUGAACUCCAGAGUGGAAGUACUGACAGGGUGCAAUAUUGAAUUGCACUGUAUUCUCAAGCUUCGCCCUGUCUUUGGGUGGAAGGGUGAUAUUUCCAUGGUCAGGCAUCAGGACCAAAAGCUUCUGAUUCAGAUUUCUGCCUUCAGAAUACAGCCACAUCAGAAGAGUCUGUUGUUUCAAGUUCCAUUGUGUUUGAAGCCAAGUCUCUCCUGACACAGAUUCUGUCAACAGCAGAAACCAUACAGUAUAGAUCCAUACAGUAAUAUGGUGUGUCAGGGUUGCUGAAGCUGAAUAGCAUGUGUGUCCAAUAUGAGGUCUGGUCACUCACUGGUCACGUGGGAUGAUCCAAAUUUGUUUAUGGACAACUACAUGGAAACUCCAAAGUUCUAACAGAUGCUGAUAGGUUUGGAGGGAGAAUGAUGUCGUAAAGCAGGCAGUAGCCAAUAGGAAGGUCAGAUUCCUAGCCAGAAAAUGGGUUGGGUGGACAGAAUGGCAGGAGAGCUACAGCUCCCCUGAAUGGCUGGGUCUAGGCAGGUGAAAGCCUGCAAGGCAGUUACGACAAUCCCUCUUUCCUCUCUUUUUAGGUUAGGGAAAUCAUCUCUGUGUUUCUUAUACGUAUUCAUUAACAAAGUUACUUAUAAUUUGCAGGUGAUAUUUUCAUGUGGUUCCCCACACGGGGCCAGAUCAUGGUCACAAGGAGCAAGACAGCCCUGGGAACAAAUUGCCAAGUGUGAGUGAGGUGCUAAGGCAGGAGGCCCUUCAGAAGACUGAUGUCUUGAGGAGAGAUGGGAAAGGAGGUACUUGAACUGAGUCUUGGAAGAUGAUAGGUGUUUCUUAGUGCACAAAGCUAGGAAGGGCAUCCAAGGCAGGCCGGAGCACAGCACUACAACAUGUUUGGCUAUUUAAAGAAAUAGGAAAUUUAUCCUGCGCCAAAGUUCUUCCCUUUAUCCCACUUCAAAGUUCUCUCUUUUGAAGUGGACUGUCUAUUUUCAGUAUUAAAGUCUUUUUUAUUCUUUGGAACCUGAAACUUGAAAAGGAUUCUAUAGGCUUCCUUCCACUUUCUGAUUGGAUUUGAGGCCCACUCCACAGAAAGGAAAUCACUACAAUAUACUACAAACGUCAUCAAAAGUCCAAGGCAGAGAAGGUCAUAGACAUGAAUUGGGGGAGUUACUUCUGAUGUUUGAAUAUGAUGUGCCCAUCAAAUGCUUUUCAUGUGUUUGUGUUCAUGUCCAUAGAUCAGUGCUGCUGUUUGCUUUUGUCAGAGAAGCAUCUCUUUGCUCUGGGCAGCAGUUAGUGAAGAGGCUCACACAUACCUGGUCAAGAAUCAGAGACUCUUUGGGAUGCUCAGCCCUAAAUGGGGCAUUUGUAUCACCCCCUCCAAGGCUCAGGGAACUUUGCGGAAGAGGGGCCGGAAAGAAUGUAAGAGCCAGAGGAAGGGGUGGAGUGAUGGAGAGUACUGUCUUCCAGGCCUGACGCGGCUGGUGUCCUCUCUGACUUCCAGCAGCUCUGAUUACCUGUACAAAACCUGCAUAAGAUUUAGCCCACCAACAUUCUGUCAUGGAGCAGGGAGCAGCUGAUGAGGCCCUGCCAGUCCCUGAGGACAUAUAGGCAGUUAAGGGUUGCUAGGGGAGAGGGUCUCAAAAGGCACUGCCUUUCCCUGAGGAUCUGUGGGCAGUUAGUGGGACCCUUGCUCUAGUGGUAUAGCUAUUGGUGAGUUGUCCUGCUCCUGUAAUAACCCUAAUUGAGCUCAUUGAUUGACCAAGGGAAAGAAGGAGGAGCACUGGUUGAAAAGAGGAAGAUGAUCAGUAGGAGAGAGAGGGUUCAUGGGGGUGAAUGUAGUCAAAAGUAUGUUGUAUACAUGAAUGAAAAUGUCCAAGUGAAACCUACUGUUUUGUUAUUAGCAUAUUAAUAUAUGUUAAUAAAAAUGAAACUAAAACAACAACCAAGCAAACAACCUGGCCUACUAAGAAGAUGCCCAGAUGGGGUUUAAUCGGAGGAGGAUUCAACAUCAGAGGAGACUGUUAAAAUAAUAGGACAAGUUGACUAGGGAUGUAGCUCAGUGAGGGAAUGUUUAUCUAGCGUGGACAAAGCCCUGAAAUCAGUCCUCAGAACUGCUAGAUACUGCUUUAAAUGGCAGAUGUAACAUGUUUCAUCUCGACUGGAAUGUAGCCCAAAGUCCUUGGAAGGACACAAGAACUAUCUACUACACCAUUUGGAUGUUACUUUUUUGAUGGAUCUCCUUCCUUUUUGUCUGCAUUCAUAUAUGUGUCUAUGUAUGCAUUCACACCAAGAUGUAUGUGUAGUAUACAUAUAUUCUGGCUCUAUGACUGUGUAUAUAUACACAUAUAUUCACAUGUGGCCAAGGUAUAUAAAAUUAUAUACAUGUCUCUUGUAGUUUUUUCUUAUUUUUUAAAUGUAUGUAUUUAUUUUUACUUUUUACUCUUUUGUUUGUUUUUCCAGACAGGGUUUCUCUGUGUAGCUCUGACUGUCCUGGAACUCACUCUAUAGACCAGGCUGGCCUUGAAUUCAGAGAUCUGCCUACCUCUGCCUCCUGAGUGCUGGGAUUAAAGACGUAUGCCACCACCACCUGGCUUAUUUUUACUUUGAAAAAAAAUGUGUGUUUAUGACUGUUUUACCUGCAUGGGUGUCUCUGCACCACAUGUGUGCAGUGCCUGCAGAAGCCAGAAGAGGGCAUUGCAGAGCUUGGAAUUGAAAUUGUAAAUGCUUGUGAGCCACAUGUGGGUGCUGAGAAUCGACUCCAGUCCUCUAUAAGAGCAGAUGGUGCUCUUACCCACCGAGCCAUCAUCUCUGUGCCCUGUAUGUGUUCUUUAUUAACACACAAUUAUGAGAUGAAUUUGAAAUAAGUAACUUAAUUAACCAACUCAGUAUUUUCCAAAAUGAAAAGCAAGAACUACAUCACAAGUCUGAAAUCCGAAGGAACAAUGACAGCACGACCAACUCUGGUAGGUAUCACUCCAGAUUCAGAACACUGUGCCAGGACCUGAGUUUGGAGGUCAAGGGUUCUCUUUAAAUGAAACAUCUGCUGAGUCCCAAACUGUUAGACUUGCAGCAGCAGCAGACCCAGGAACAGGGCUCUCAGUUUUCUCAGAAUGCUGGGGCUUGGCUUCAUCUUGCCUCUUAGACUUCAGGUAUUUGUGUAUGUGGUAGUUUAAAUGAGAUGUCCACUAUAGUCUUGGCAUCUGAUGCUUGGUCCCCAGCUGGUGGCACUGCUUGGGUAGGUUGAGGAGGUGUGGCCUUAUUGGAGGAAGUCUGUGACUGGGAGGGGCCUUCUGAGCUUUGUGCUUGUGGUUCAAGAUAUGAGCCUGCAGCUCCCUGCUCUGGCCACCAUGUCUUAGCUCAACCAUCAUGGACUCUGACCCUUUGGAACUGUAAGCCCAAAUAGACUUCCUUCCAUGAGUUGCCUUGAUUGUGGUGUUUGUCACUUGAGUAGAAAGUAACUAGGACAAUGUGAUCAUGAGUUGGCAAUUUUUUUUUUGUCUUUGGUGAUGGUGUGCUCAUAUUUUUGUGAUUCUGUUUUAUUUGAAGCUUGAUGAGGUGUUCUUCAGAGAGUUAAGAUAGCAGAAUUGUAAAUGUGAAUUCCUGUGGCCUUACAAAUGGAGCACUGUGAUUUUAUCAAAAGUUUGUAAUAUUUUAGGUGUUUUGCAUGUAUGUAUAUAAAUGCACCAAUUUUUGUGCAAUGACUGAGGAAGCCAGAAAAGGCAUUGAGUUCCCUUGGGACUAGUUACAGGGGGUUGUGAACUGCCAUGUGGGUGCUGGGAAUUGAAUUUGGUCCUUUGAAAGAGCAUCAAGUGUGCUGUUAACCAUUGAGCCAUAUCUCAGGCUCAUAGUAUCAAAAAUUUCUUGAGCUUCUGUGAUUGUCUUUCCUCAAAGAUAUUUCAGUACCAACUGGUCUGUUACUGGAUUUGGGGGUCCUUUAAUGGUCACCAGACAAUACCAGGAAAAUCAGGGUCCCCUUUUAGGGUUCUUUGUUGCAUUAAUAAAAGAGUAGAUUCAAAUUAAUUAAUAAAUAAUUAUUAUAUAAAUAAUUAAAUGAUUCAAAUUAAUAAAAGAGUGGAUUCAAAUGUGAACUUAGGACACUUUUACUAGAGUUUAAAAGAAAGCCCUCCCAGGGCAGGCAAGCUGUAAGCCCCAGCGGCUGCUCAGAGGUUGAAGGUGGAGGAGAGAAAGAAAAGUCCAUUCCAUGUAAGCCAGCAUGAAGGUCAGAUGUGUGGCAGAGGAGCAGUCACAUGGUGGAAAAAGAGUAAGAAAGCCCACAGUGUUAGGGAAAAGCCCACAGUGUUAGGAAACCAUGCUUAGAAAAGAGAUAGAAGAAAAGGAAAAUUUAUGCUUUCCGAAUAAUUCAGAAAAGUGGGCAGGCUUACUGCUCCAUAUGGCUGCAGCUUGUCCGUAAGCUUCUGAUGACUCUUUUUUCCCCCAUAUUAAUCUGUGUCUGUGAGAGUGUAUGUGUAUGAGUUCACAUGCGAUAGCACACAUAUGGAGGUCAGAGAAUAAUCCACAGGAGACAGUUCUCUUCUACCGUGUGGGAUUCGGGGGAUUGAACCCAGGUUGAUAGAGGCUUGGAAGUGAAUGCUUUUACUUGCUGAGCCAACUUGUUUGUUUUGGGAUGGUCCCAUGUACUUCAGAAUGGACUUUACUUUGCUUGUAGCUAAAGAUGUCUUCUACAUUUCUGAUUCUCCUGCCUCCACCCUUCAAGUGCUGGGAUGAGAGGAUGAACUAGCACACCCAGGUUAUGUGGGGCUGGAGACUGAACCCAGGGCUCUGUGCAUACCAUGCUAGCAUUCUACCAGCUGACGUGCCCCUCCAGUUCUCAUUUAUUCUUUAAAUACAUGAUGUAGCAUCACUAUUCUUUCAUGUUAUUAAAUAUUAUUUUAAAAAAUGUUUUUUUUUGGCUGCACAAUGUCUUAUAUAUCUGAACUAUUAUUAAGCAUUUAUGUAUUGUUAAAAGUAUUUUGAACUUUUUCUAUAUACAAAUUCCUCAAUAAGCACUGAUGCAUGUAAAUGCUAUUUUCAUUUCUGGUUAAACAUAAAUAAAUGUUUUUAAAAGUUA
Molecule: long non-coding RNA, 11102 nt
Organism: Peromyscus californicus insignis
Lineage: Eukaryota; Metazoa; Chordata; Mammalia; Rodentia; Cricetidae
Exons: 3
Source: RefSeq, a predicted model, not a curated record